GCUGGGCGUAGUGGCGCACACCUGUAAUCCCAGUAGCUUGGUAGGCUGAGACAGGAGGAUCUUGAGUUCAAAGCCAGCCUCAGCAAUUCAGUGAGACCCUGUCUCUA
RNAcentral lists this small RNA (107 nucleotides) under Marmota monax (woodchuck). The record is from RNAcentral. Lineage: Eukaryota; Metazoa; Chordata; Mammalia; Rodentia; Sciuridae.